Molecule: ribosomal RNA, 1260 nt
Filed under: Listeria monocytogenes
Lineage: Bacteria; Bacillati; Bacillota; Bacilli; Caryophanales; Listeriaceae
Description: partial 23S ribosomal RNA
Rfam family: Bacterial large subunit ribosomal RNA
Source: RNAcentral
AACUCCGAAUGCCAUGUACUUAUACUCGGGAGUCAGACUGCGAGUGAUAAGAUCCGUAGUCGAAAGGGAAACAGCCCAGACCACCAGUUAAGGUCCCCAAAUAUAUGUUAAGUGGAAAAGGAUGUGGGGUUGCUUAGACAACCAGGAUGUUGGCUUAGAAGCAGCCACCAUUGAAAGAGUGCGUAAUAGCUCACUGGUCGAGUGACCCCGCGCCGAAAAUGUACCGGGGCUAAACAUAUUACCGAAACUGUGGAUGAACCUCUUCGGAGGUUCGUGGUAGGAGAGCGUUCUAAGGGCGGUGAAGUCAGACCGGAAGGACUGGUGGAGCGCUUAGAAGUGAGAAUGCCGGUAUGAGUAGCGAAAGAAGGGUGAGAAUCCCUUCCACCGAAUAUCUAAGGUUUCCUGAGGAAGGCUCGUCCGCUCAGGGUUAGUCGGGACCUAAGCCGAGGCCGAUAGGCGUAGGCGAUGGACAACAGGUAGAGAUUCCUGUACCAGUGCUAAUUGUUUAACCGAUGGGGUGACACAGAAGGAUAGGGAAUCGCACGAAUGGAAAUGUGCGUCCAAGCAGUGAGUGUGAGAAGUAGGCAAAUCCGCUUCUCGCGAAGCAUGAGCUGUGAUGGGGAAGGAAAUUAAGUACGGAAGUUCCUGAUUUCACGCUGUCAAGAAAAGCCUCUAGGAAGAGUAGUACUGCCCGUACCGCAAACCGACACAGGUAGAUGAGGAGAGAAUCCUAAGGUGAGCGAGAGAACUCUCGUUAAGGAACUCGGCAAAAUGACCCCGUAACUUCGGGAGAAGGGGUGCUCUAUUAGGGUGCAAGCCCGAGAGAGCCGCAGUGAAUAGGCCCAGGCGACUGUUUAGCAAAAACACAGGUCUCUGCAAAACCGUAAGGUGACGUAUAGGGGCUGACGCCUGCCCGGUGCUGGAAGGUUAAGAGGAGUGCUUAGCUUCGGCGAAGGUACGAAUUGAAGCCCCAGUAAACGGCGGCCGUAACUAUAACGGUCCUAAGGUAGCGAAAUUCCUUGUCGGGUAAGUUCCGACCCGCACGAAAGGCGCAACGAUCUGGGCACUGUCUCAACGAGAGACUCGGUGAAAUUAUAGUACCUGUGAAGAUGCAGGUUACCCGCGACAGGACGGAAAGACCCCGUGGAGCUUUACUGCAACCUGAUAUGGAAUGUUUGUACCGCUUGUACAGGAUAGGUAGGAGCCGAAGAGACGUGUGCGCUAGCAUACGAGGAGGCAAUGGUGGGAUACUACCCUGGC